AUGGACGCUAGCUACAGGCUCAACACAUGCAAGUCGAGGGGCGAGCGGGAUUGAAGCUUGCUUCAAUUGCCGGCGACCGGCGCACGGGUGAGUAACGCGUAUCCAACCUUCCGUACACUCAGGGAUAGCCUUUCGAAAGAAAGAUUAAUACCUGAUAGUAUGGUGAGAUUGCAUGAUAGCACCAUUAAAGAUUUAUUGGUAAACGAUGGGGAUGCGUUCCAUUAGGUAGUAGGCGGGGUAACGGCCCACCUAGCCGACGAUGGAUAGGGGUUCUGAGAGGAAGGUCCCCCACAUUGGAACUGAGACACGGUCCAAACUCCUACGGGAGGCAGCAGUGAGGAAUAUUGGUCAAUGGGCGAGAGCCUGAACCAGCCAAGUAGCGUGAAGGAUGAAGGUCCUACGGAUUGUAAACUUCUUUUAUACGGGAAUAAAGUAUCCUACGUGUAGGAUUUUGUAUGUACCGUAUGAAUAAGCAUCGGCUAACUCCGUG
This 490-nucleotide ribosomal RNA is filed under the name uncultured bacterium. RNAcentral's name for it is "bacterial SSU rRNA". It matches the Rfam family "Bacterial small subunit ribosomal RNA", at positions 29 to 507 of the family's 1533-position model. The record is from RNAcentral.